This 414-nucleotide ribosomal RNA is filed under the name uncultured bacterium. RNAcentral describes it as "bacterial SSU rRNA". It matches the Rfam family "Bacterial small subunit ribosomal RNA", at positions 355 to 766 of the family's 1533-position model. The record is from RNAcentral.
UAAGGAAUAUUGGUCAAUGGGCGCAAGCCUGAACCAGCCAUGCCGCGUGCAGGAAGACGGCCCUAUGGGUUGUAAACUGCUUUUGUCAGGGAAUAAACCCCCGCUCGUGAGCGGGGCUGAAGGUACCUGAAGAAUAAGCAUCGGCUAACUCCGUGCCAGCAGCCGCGGUAAUACGGAGGAUGCAAGCGUUAUCCGGAUUCAUUGGGUUUAAAGGGUGCGCAGGCGGAUUGGUAAGUCAGGGGUGAAAUCCCACAGCUCAACUGUGGGACUGACUUGGAUACUGGCAGUCUAGAUUAUAGUUGAAGUGGGCGGAAUGUGUCAUGUAGCGGUGGAAUGCUUAGAUAUGACACAGAACACCGAUCGCGAAGGGAGCUCGCUAAGCUAUAACUGACGCUCAUGCACGGAAGCGUGGGG